GAAGCCGGAAUUGCUAAUAAUGGCAGGUCAGCAUACUGCCGUGAAUACGUUCCCGGGCCUUGUACACACCGCCCGUCACACCAUGAGAGUUGGGAAUACCCGAAGCCUGUGAGCUAACUUUUAGAGGCAGCAGUCGAAGGUAGAAUCAAUGAUUGGGGUGAAGUCGUAACAAGGUACC
This 178-nucleotide ribosomal RNA is filed under the name uncultured bacterium. RNAcentral's name for it is "partial 16S ribosomal RNA". It matches the Rfam family "Bacterial small subunit ribosomal RNA", at positions 1322 to 1500 of the family's 1533-position model. The record is from RNAcentral.